GCGGUUGUCGUCCAGACCUUUAAUUAGGGGAUAACUUGGUUAGGACACGGGGUUUCCAACCCCGGAACACGGGUUCAAAUCCCGUCGACCGCA
Molecule: transfer RNA, 93 nt
Filed under: Nitrososphaerota archaeon
Lineage: Archaea; Thermoproteati; Nitrososphaerota
Description: Thaumarchaeota archaeon tRNA-Gly
Rfam family: tRNA
About the family: Transfer RNA (tRNA) molecules are approximately 80 nucleotides in length. Their secondary structure includes four short double-helical elements and three loops (D, anti-codon, and T loops).
Source: RNAcentral